Molecule: long non-coding RNA, 510 nt
Organism: Silurus meridionalis
Lineage: Eukaryota; Metazoa; Chordata; Actinopteri; Siluriformes; Siluridae
Exons: 2
Source: RefSeq, a predicted model, not a curated record
CCGAGCUCUCAGCGGCUUGUACACACACACCGCCAUGACUAUCACAGCCACCAGGAGAACAGCCAGCACGCUGAUGAGCAACACUGAGACACAAAGCAGGAAUAAACAAUGAUGUCCAUUGCAGUAUCAUCACUAGGUACCGGAGUCAAACCCAGCGUGUCUGUGUGGAUGUCCGGCAGCGUUCGUUCGGGUCGCAGACAAACAGCCAGACGCUGAAAUGAGAAACAGCAAUGAGGAGAAAGAGGUCAGAGGUCACUGAGCACGAUGACACGGAUCUAGAAUUCUGCUGCUCUAAAUCCUACACAGAGAUGAACCCAGUGCUGUACGCUUCUUUUAUUUGAAUUCAUUUUAAUAGACACAGCAAAAGAGAAAAGGAGAAACCUUCCAUGGACCUCCAUGGAGCCCACUAAGGUCAUUAGCUGUUUGACUUGGGAUUGAACUGGAAAUGGGUGUUACUAUGGUUAUAGGUGUUUAUAAGCAGCAACUCUUAUUAAACUACUGACCAAACUA